CUUCAGGAGGUACCCACUCUCCAGGGACUGGAAUCUAGUAAUGCUAGUCAUCAUGCCAUGCUUCCUGGGUUAUUGCAAUUCUUCCAUAAGCCCACAGCAGUAUCCUUCAGGCUAACUCUCAGGCUGCCCUGGCUACUCCACCAGAGGGAAAUAAAUUCUUUCCCCAUUGCAACUGCCUCAUCUCAACUUCCUAUGGAGCACUUACCUAGUAAUCCUGCUGUCUGUCACGUGUA
Molecule: long non-coding RNA, 233 nt
Filed under: Phascolarctos cinereus (koala)
Lineage: Eukaryota; Metazoa; Chordata; Mammalia; Diprotodontia; Phascolarctidae
Description: lncRNA (ENSPCIG00000021105.2)
Source: RNAcentral